Camelina sativa (false flax) is the source of this 794-nucleotide non-coding RNA. Lineage: Eukaryota; Viridiplantae; Streptophyta; Magnoliopsida; Brassicales; Brassicaceae. The record is from RefSeq and is a predicted model, not a curated record.
CGCACGGACUAAAAAUCUAAAAAUCAUUCUCUCUCGAUCCAAUCUUUCGUUGCUAGGGUUUAAGUAUUUUGUAGGCUUUGAUCUUUUGAUCUCUCAGCGAUAAUGGUGUUUCGUCGCCAUCUCAGUACCGGUGAUCCUCUUUGUGCUAUCCAUGAUUCGCGCCCCUCACGUCGCCCGUUUGAGAGAGCCAAUUUUGAGGAAACUUGGAUGCAUUAUAAGAUGAGGAUUCAGAAGGCCAAGGAGACUCUUGACUCUGAAUCUGAAUCUGAAUCUCGUACUCAGGUAAGGUUAUAUUAUUACUAUUGUUUGUUUGCAAACCCUCCUUUGAAUAAUUUUUAAAACGGCUUGCUUAUUCAUUGAUUGAUUCUUAUAACUUGCAUUAGGGGAAACUGUCUGAGGCUACUACAACCUCCACGCCUCAGUCUAGCAUCCACCUCCGCGACGCUUUGAAGAAGAUGACUAAGAAGACUAAGAAGCUCGUGAUGAAAAGCAAAGCCCCUGCACUUAAGGCCUCCCUCCGUGAUGAUUAUUGACUACUUUCUCACUAGUGUACCUUCCCAAACCCACCAGUGCCCCUAAACAUCCCCUCUUUGGUUUCUCUUUUAUUGCAUCUCGAGCCUUAGAUGGACUUUUAACUUAAACAGCAUAUAUAAAAGGAUUAACCAUAGUUUUUACAUUAACAGAAACAUAAAGAAAAUUUCACAAAUCCCAAAUAUUGUCGUUUUCACGAGAAAAGGCGGGCUCCAUACAUUGCAAAACAGAAGCUACAUAAUAGAGAGAUAAGCAUAGGGAAA